GGCUGUCUGGUGUACUGGUUAAAGUGUCGGACUAGGACAUCAGAGGCCAGGGUUCAAGUCCCCAGUCGGCCA
Non-coding RNA from Podarcis lilfordi (Lilford's wall lizard), 72 nucleotides. The record is from the annotation of a GenBank genome assembly. Lineage: Eukaryota; Metazoa; Chordata; Lepidosauria; Squamata; Lacertidae.